This is a long non-coding RNA of Lagenorhynchus albirostris (white-beaked dolphin), 1820 nucleotides long. RefSeq lists it as uncharacterized. The transcript is spliced from 3 exons. NCBI's taxonomy places the organism in Eukaryota, Metazoa, Chordata, Mammalia, Artiodactyla, Delphinidae. The record is from RefSeq and is a predicted model, not a curated record.
UUAGGUACUAGUGUGCCCUUCAGUACUUUACUAUGAUGGCAUUUGUUUGGAACAUUGAUUAGAGUAACACUGAUGGGCAUUCACUUAAGUGACUUUCUUAUUUUGAUUGGCAUGAUAGCUGCAAGUUUGUAUGCCAGUGUAUAGGCUAAUGUGCAGGGUUUGGUACAAAGGAAAAUUGCAUAAAAUAUAUUAUUUCAUUUUCUUACUUUCAAACAUUGAGGAGUAGACUCUUUGUUUUUUCAGCUAGUUGCCUAUAUCAGAUGUUCUAUGUAACAUGCACAUAUUAGUUAUUAUGCAUAUAGUAGAGAGAGAGAGAGGAAAGGACUCGGCAAACGGGAUGGGUCAGAAAGGUUAAAAAUUUUUUUUAAUUUCUCAAGAUAAACUUUUACCCCUAAAACAUGUUCCUUGGCUAUGUGAAGUCCUUCCCAUUUGAUUAUGAGUCACUGAGGGUAGAGGUCAUGUCACUAUCCUGUUUAUGAUGCUUAUUCUCCCUUAACCAUCUAGUAUCACUGCAAGUCACUGUUGGAACUUCACAUGGGCUCAGAUUGUAUUGAAUUGACUAUGAGAGCAGAAGGUGAUUUCAUCACCUUCUGAAUAAUAUUGUGGAGAGAUCAUGACAUGGUUCUGGAAAACAGGAAACCUGGAUUCUAUGUCCCAACUGGAAUAUCUAGUGUUAUGCCCUCAAAUAUAUCACCCAACCUCACUGGGGCCAGUUUUCUUGAAAAAUGAGAAGACUGGAUAAGAUUGGCUCAAAGUUUCCAAAAUCCUGUGAUUAUUCUGUUACCACUCUACAGUAAAUGCGUAGGGAAAUUUACACAUUGGGUAAGAAAUCUAGGUUGUAGAGUCCUUAUUUCCAUUUUUAAAUAUAGGUAGCCUUGAUGGGUUUUAUUUGAACUUUCUAAAAAGGACUUAUAUUUCCACUUCAGACUGUCUGCAAAUGCUAGGAGCAUAUGCCUAAGACAUUUUGUAGUUAGAUACGUGAACAUGAAAGUUUUCAAAUGACUGUAAACUAUUUUUUCUUGUCUUUUUGGAGAGACUGAUCUUUUUCCCAAGACCAGCUCCCAGUGAUGCUCAUCAGCUGCUAUGAUUCGUUUUUAGAACUUUUACAGACUUCACAGUCAUCAAACCCACACCAAGAGGAGCCAACUAUUAUCCUAAAAGGUGAUUGCCUGGUGUUUCAGAAGACUUAACGCAAGAGCUGGCUACUUCUUCACUUCUUUUUCCAAUUAUUCCUGCAGGGGCUCUAGCUGAGGCGUGCCUUCGCAUGUCUAUGAGGGGGGAAAAAUGUGAAUCUUAAGUAGAGUACAAAAAGUAAUUCAGGAGCAAUGGAACCGGUUAAAGACCUCUACCCAGUUGUCCUAAUGACUCUUUACAUUGUUACUGCUUAGGCUUUGGAGUCCACAAGGCUGCCUUUGAAUCUUGGCCUCUGUGAUGUAAAACACUGGUUAGGUGCUCACCCAGUCGUAUUCGUUCCGUCCUCUUGCUUACAGAACCUUAAUUUUGUGUGCGUGAAAAUGUGUCUCCUACUUAUUUUCCUUUCAAGCUUCACUUCAGCUCAAGGGGCCGUAUAUGACAGAACCCUGGCCAUCUGCUUGGGUUCUGUCACAGCUUUCCUGAUAAAAAGAGGACGCUUAUGGCUCAUACCCUCUUCUGCUCUCUUUCUGCCUUAAACAUUGACAUGAUGUCUGGAACUGCAGCAGCUAUCAUGUGCUUCUGCAGAAAAGGCUGAAAGAGUCACAGAUACCAGCCCCCUGACAUUGUUGAAAAGCUAAUCCAACAUCUGCAUUCACCAUAUUCCAGAUUGUCAAUUAUGUAGAAGA